GGGUACUAGUCCUUGCAGGAACAGGUUAGUAGGUGUCCGAGGUUAGUUUGGCUAGUUAGAGUCCGAGUAGGACUUGUGUCAUGUUGGUCAAGGCUGCGUGCAUAUAUAUAGACGUGAAGGUAUGUGGAUUUUGGAGUACCGUGACUUGAGAAAAAAGAGAAAAUAAAGAGGGAAAAUUAAGGCACGACAAGGGCCCUUGGCUACAUAAUUUUGUGUGUGCGUGUUAGUAGUGAUUUCAUGUAAUCGAUCAUGAGGGUUGAGUUCCAACAAUUGGUAUCUAGAGCAAGGUCGAGGUGAAGCUAUACUUGCCCCGGGGAGGUGACCCGACUAGCGCCUCGGGGCGGGCUAUAUGGUCACUGGGUGGUGCAGCGACGAGGAGCGGCGGGCAAUGGUCGUUCGUGGAGCGACGGAUGAAGAGGUUCAGGAGAUCGUCGUUCGGCGAAGCGGCAAGGAGGGACAGUGGUCGGUCGUCGGCAAGGCGGUGGAAGAAAAUCGUUGAUGGGAGCGAUGGUGCCGAGGUGCGGUGCCGAGAAGCCAUCAAGGUCAUCGUCCAAGGGAAUAGGAGUCAAGGAGUCGUGCGGGUUGGGACAUCUCGGUCGUCGUGUCAGUGAGUCGUCGGCGUCGUCAUGUCCAAGUGCUCGUCUUGGUGAUGAUUCGUUGGAGUUGAAGCGGUGUGCACGGUGUUCCGUGAGUCAUAUCCAUGUCCUCGUGGAGCGUCCUGGUUGCGGCCAGUAUGGAUUCGGUGUGAUGCCGAAGGUGGACGAUGGUAGGCGAAGCCAUCGUAAAGCGAGGAGGUGUGCGAGUAGUGGAGAGUGGAUCUACUACAAGCAAGUACAAAGAGUAUGGUGCGGACCGAGUGCAAGGCAGCGGCCAAGCAAUGGCGGUGGCACAACAUUGUAGAGCAAGGAGGUUCUACUUGUUUCCAGACGGGUCAUACUCAAUGUACGGAUACGACGGUUUAGUCGAUGUGUCGACAAGUCACGAGUCAACAACGAGUCAAGACAAGACGGAACACUAAGAAGAUGGCAUGUCAAGAUUAGGAAGAGAUUGUUAGGUAUAAUCUUGAGUUUGUAGUCACUAGUGCAUGUACAGGUUGUGCUAGGACGUGUAGUCCAUGGUCUUGGGCUAAGUACGUGUCUAGUUUAGAUAGUUCUAGGAGUCCUGAGUCAUGUACGGGUACUAGUCCUUGCAGGAACAGGUUAGUAGGUGUCCGAGGUUAGUUUGGCUAGUUAGAGUCCGAGUAGGACUUGUGUCAUGUUGGUCAAGGCUGCGUGCAUAUAUAUAGACGUGAAGGUAUGUGGAUUUUGGAGUACCGUGACUUGAGAAAAAAGAGAAAAUAAAGAGGGAAAAUUAAGGCACGACAAGGGCCCUUGGCUACAUAAUUUUGUGUGUGCGUGUUAGUAGUGAUUUCAUGUAAUCGAUCAUGAGGGUUGAGUUCCAACAAUUGGUAUCUAGAGCAAGGUCGAGGUGAAGCUAUGCUUGCCCCGGGGAGGUGACCCGACUAGCGCCUCGGGGCGGGCUAUAUGGUCACUGGGUGGUGCAGCGACGAGGAGCGGCGGGCAAUGGUCGUUCGUGGAGCGACGGAUGAAGAGGUUCAGGAGAUCGUCGUUCGGCGAAGCGGCAAGGAGGGACAGUGGUCGGUCGUCGGCAAGGCGGUGGAAGAAAAUCGUUGAUGGGAGCGAUGGUGCCGAGGUGCGGUGCCGAGAAGCCAUCAAGGUCAUCGUCCAAGGGAAUAGGAGUCAAGGAGUCGUGCGGGUUGGGACAUCUCGGUCGUCGUGUCAGUGAGUCGUCGGCGUCGUCAUGUCCAAGUGCUCGUCUUGGUGAUGAUUCGUUGGAGUUGAAGCGGUGUGCACGGUGUUCCGUGAGUCAUAUCCAUGUCCUCGUGGAGCGUCCUGGUUGCGGCCAGUAUGGAUUCGGUGUGAUGCCGAAGGUGGACGAUGGUAGGCGAAGCCAUCGUAAAGCGAGGAGGUGUGCGAGUAGUGGAGAGUGGAUCUACUACAAGCAAGUACAAAGAGUAUGGUGCGGACCGAGUGCAAGGCAGCGGCCAAGCAAUGGCGGUGGCACAACAUUGUAGAGCAAGGAGGUUCUACUUGUUUCCAGACGGGUCAUACUCAAUGUACGGAUACGACGGUUUAGUCGAUGUGUCGACAAGUCACGAGUCAACAACGAGUCAAGACAAGACGGAACACUAAGAAGAUGGCAUGUCAAGAUUAGGAAGAGAUUGUUAGGUAUAAUCUUGAGUUUGUAGUCACUAGUGCAUGUACAGGUUGUGCUAGGACGUGUAGUCCAUGGUCUUGGGCUAAGUACGUGUCUAGUUUAGAUAGUUCUAGGAGUCCUGAGUCAUGUACGGGUACUAGUCCUUGCAGGAACAGGUUAGUAGGUGUCCGAGGUUAGUUUGGCUAGUUAGAGUCCGAGUAGGACUUGUGUCAUGUUGGUCAAGGCUGCGUGCAUAUAUAUAGACGUGAAGGUAUGUGGAUUUUGGAGUACCGUGACUUGAGAAAAAAGAGAAAAUAAAGAGGGAAAAUUAAGGCACGACAAGGGCCCUUGGCUACAUAAUUUUGUGUGUGCGUGUUAGUAGUGAUUUCAUGUAAUCGAUCCUGAGGGUUGAGUUCCAACAGUAAUGCUUAAACCUUUUAAAUAAUAGAGCUUCCCAUUUUAGAAAAUAUGGCAACGGAAAAAAUGCACUAUACAAAAUAGUGUCGACCCUUAAAAUAUGUUCCUAACAUUUUUAGAAAGACAAUUCUCUACAUAGUAUAGCGUGCUAUUAAUGACGCUAUAGCAUUGCUAUUUUUGCCCUAGUUAUAUAUAUGAUGGUAAGUAUGAGGAACUUAGUUAGAGUUAU
Molecule: long non-coding RNA, 2842 nt
Filed under: Hordeum vulgare
Lineage: Eukaryota; Viridiplantae; Streptophyta; Magnoliopsida; Poales; Poaceae
Description: long non-coding RNA (HVUL_LNC011352)
Source: RNAcentral